RNAcentral lists this ribosomal RNA (431 nucleotides) under Reticulitermes flavipes (eastern subterranean termite). RNAcentral describes it as "partial 12S ribosomal RNA". Lineage: Eukaryota; Metazoa; Arthropoda; Insecta; Blattodea; Rhinotermitidae. The record is from RNAcentral.
UACUAUGUUACGACUUAUCAAAUAAUAACGAGAGCGACGGGCGAUGUGUACAUAUCUCAGAACCAAUUAUCACAAAAACAAUCUUCAAAAUAUUACAAUCAAAUCCAAUUUCAUGCCAGUAAUUAAAACCAACAAUCCAAACACAAAUAACAAUGUAAUCCACCAAAACACUUAGAGAAAGCUGCACCUUGACCUGAAAUCAAACCAAAUAUAGGAACAAGAAAAUUAUAUGCCCUAAAAAGAUAAUCAAUAAACGGCGGUAUACAAACCAAUAAACAACCAAGUAAGGUCCAACGUGGACUAUCGAUAACGAGACAGGUUCCUCUGAACGGAAUAAGAUACCGCCAAAUUCUUUAAGUUUCAAGAACAUAACUAAUACUACUCAGGCAAACAUUAACAUUCAAAAUAAAUAGGGUAUCUAAUCCUAGUUU